RNAcentral lists this ribosomal RNA (445 nucleotides) under uncultured bacterium. RNAcentral's name for it is "partial 16S ribosomal RNA". It matches the Rfam family "Bacterial small subunit ribosomal RNA", at positions 354 to 796 of the family's 1533-position model. The record is from RNAcentral.
GUGAGGAAUAUUGCGCAAUGGAGGCAACUCUGACGCAGCCAUGCCGCGUGCAGGAAGAAGGCGCUACGCGUUGUAAACUGCUUUUAACCGGGAAGAAACCCCAGGACGUGUCCUGGGUUGACGGUACCGGAGGAAUAAGCACCGGCUAACUUCCUGCCAGCAGCCGCGGUAAUACGAAGGGUGCAAGCGUUAUCCUGAUGCAUUCGGUUUAAAGGGUGCGUAGGCGGAGCGUUAAGUCAGUGGUGAAAUCCUGCAGCUUCACUGUAGACUUGCCAUUGAUACUGGCGCUCUUGAUUGCGCUUGAAGUGGGCGGAAUGUGCCGUGUAGCGGUGAAAUGCUUAGAUAUGGCACAGAACACCAAUUGCGAAGGCAGCUCACUAAGGCGAUACUGACGCUGAGGCACGAAAGCGUGGGGAUCGAACAGGAUUAGAAACCCUGGUAGUCC